RNAcentral lists this ribosomal RNA (452 nucleotides) under uncultured bacterium. Its description in RNAcentral is "bacterial SSU rRNA". It matches the Rfam family "Bacterial small subunit ribosomal RNA", at positions 10 to 507 of the family's 1533-position model. The record is from RNAcentral.
AGUUUGAUCCUGGCUCAAGAACGAACGCUGGCGGCAUGCCUAACACAUGCAAGUCGAACGAAGCCUUCGGGCUUAGUGGCGCACGGGUGCGUAACGCGUGGGAAUCUGCCCUUGGGUUCGGAAUAACAGUUAGAAAUGACUGCUAAUACCGAAUGAUGUCUUCGGACCAAAGAUUUAUCGCCCAAGGAUGAGCCCGCGUCGGAUUAGCUAGUUGGUGAGGUAAAGGCUCACCAAGGCGACGAUCCGUAGCCGGUCUGAGAGGAUGAUCAGCCACACUGGGACUGAGACACGGCCCAGACUCCUACGGGAGGCAGCAGUGGGGAAUAUUGGACAAUGGGCGAAAGCCUGAUCCAGCAAUGCCGCGUGAGUGAUGAAGGCCUUAGGGUUGUAAAACUCUUUCGCCGGAGAAGAUAAUGACGGUAUCCGGAGAAGAAGCCCCGGCUAACUUCGUG